This 261-nucleotide ribosomal RNA is filed under the name uncultured Pseudomonas sp. RNAcentral describes it as "partial 16S ribosomal RNA". It matches the Rfam family "Bacterial small subunit ribosomal RNA", at positions 1124 to 1382 of the family's 1533-position model. The record is from RNAcentral. Lineage: Bacteria; Pseudomonadati; Pseudomonadota; Gammaproteobacteria; Pseudomonadales; Pseudomonadaceae.
CGGUUAUGGUGGGCACUCUAAGGAGGACUGCCGGUGACAAACCGGAGGAAGGUGGGGAUGACGUCAAGUCAUCAUGGCCCUUACGGCCUGGGCUACACACGUGCUACAAUGGUCGGUACAAAGGGUUGCCAAGCCGCGAGGUGGAGCUAAUCCCAUAAAACCGAUCGUAGUCCGGAUCGCAGUCUGCAACUCGACUGCGUGAAGUCGGAAUCGCUAGUAAUCGUGAAUCAGAAUGUCACGGUGAAUACGUUCCCGGGCCUU